ACUGGUCUUUCAUGUUAUUUAGGCAGGCAAUGAAUUUAUGGGCGGGACUGAGUGAAUUUGACCUACUUAAACUUUAGUUUACUAUCUUCUAUUCUCUCUCACAUCACAAGUACUUCAUCAUCUCUUUCUCAUUUGCAAUCAUUCUUCCUAUCUAAGACGGUGGUAAGGGUCGACAAUGGAGGCUCACUCGUUCUCCCUUUCUCAACUGCGAGGGUGUGGAUGCACCGAUCGGGCAUCGACGGGGCUACGUGUGCGACGAUCGGGGAUCGAUGAGAUCGUGGGUGCAUCUCGAAUGAAGUGGACAGUGGACAAUUUUGAGUGCCAUAGAAAAAAAUAGUUAUGGUGGCAGAAGGAUUCUUGGUAGCUUGGUUUGUGUAUUAAGGAUGAAGGGAUUCGAUGGACUGCGUGACGAUUCGAGGACAACGUUAUUUUUAGUCUCUUUAAAUUAUGUUUUUAUGUAUUUUCCACAUUUAGCUUUGUAAACAAUUUCCUUUAGUUUAAAGUUAUGUUUUAUUUUAAAACAAUGGGAUCCUACACCACUCAUUUAUGUAUUUCAAUAUUUACUUUGGAGUUUUUAAUAAAGUUAUGAAUAUUCCUUA
This is a long non-coding RNA of Humulus lupulus (European hop), 599 nucleotides long. RefSeq lists it as uncharacterized. The record is from RefSeq and is a predicted model, not a curated record. The transcript is spliced from 3 exons. Lineage: Eukaryota; Viridiplantae; Streptophyta; Magnoliopsida; Rosales; Cannabaceae.